UACAGAGGUCCCCAAGCGUUGUUCGGAUUCACUGGGCGUAAAGGGUGCGUAGGUGGCUGGGUAAGUUCGAUGUGAAAUCUCCGAGCUCAACUCGGAAAUGGCAUUGAAUACUAUCUUGCUAGAGGGUCGGAGGGGAGACUGGAAUUCUCGGUGUAGCAGUGAAAUGCGUAGAUAUCGAGAGGAACACCAGUGGCGAAGGCGAGUCUCUGGACGACACCUGACACUGAGGCACGAAAGCUAGGGGAGCAAACAGGAUUAGAUACCCUGGUAGU
This 272-nucleotide ribosomal RNA is filed under the name uncultured bacterium. RNAcentral's name for it is "partial 16S ribosomal RNA". It matches the Rfam family "Bacterial small subunit ribosomal RNA", at positions 524 to 794 of the family's 1533-position model. The record is from RNAcentral.